Molecule: ribosomal RNA, 555 nt
Filed under: Cordyceps sp.
Lineage: Eukaryota; Fungi; Ascomycota; Sordariomycetes; Hypocreales; Cordycipitaceae
Description: SSU rRNA
Rfam family: Eukaryotic small subunit ribosomal RNA
Source: RNAcentral
UCAUAUGCUUGUCUCAAAGAUUAAGCCAUGCAUGUCUAAGUAUAAGCAAUUAUACAGCGAAACUGCGAAUGGCUCAUUAUAUAAGUUAUCGUUUAUUUGAUAGUACCUUACUACUUGGAUAACCGUGGUAAUUCUAGAGCUAAUACAUGCUUCAAAUCCCGACUUCGGAAGGGAUGUAUUUAUUAGAUUAAAAACCAAUGCCCUCUGGGCUCCUUGGUGAUUCAUAAUAACUUUUCGAAUCGCAUGGCCUUGCGCCGGCGAUGGUUCAUUCAAAUUUCUUCCCUAUCAACUUUCGAUGUUUGGGUAUUGGCCAAACAUGGUUACAACGGGUAACGGAGGGUUAGGGCUCGACCCCGGAGAAGGAGCCUGAGAAACGGCUACUACAUCCAAGGAAGGCAGCAGGCGCGCAAAUUACCCAAUCCCGAUUCGGGGAGGUAGUGACAAUAAAUACUGAUACAGGGCUCUUUUGGGUCUUGUAAUUGGAAUGAGUACAAUUUAAAUCCCUUAACGAGGAACAAUUGGAGGGCAAGUCUGGUGCCAGCAGCCGCGGUAAUC